GCUGAUAUGGCUCAGUUGGUAGAGCGCACCCUUGGUAAGGGUGAGGCCCCAGUUCGACUCUGGGUAUCAGCACCA
This 75-nucleotide transfer RNA is filed under the name Escherichia coli. RNAcentral describes it as "tRNA-Thr". It matches the Rfam family "tRNA". Rfam says of the family: Transfer RNA (tRNA) molecules are approximately 80 nucleotides in length. RNAcentral also lists the same sequence under 3 other names. Lineage: Bacteria; Pseudomonadati; Pseudomonadota; Gammaproteobacteria; Enterobacterales; Enterobacteriaceae. The record is from RNAcentral.